CUUGGAAUGCUGCCCUCCUCGACCUUCAUUGGAUGGAAUUUUUCCCUGAAUUUCUUGUUCUCCAAUAAAAGGCCACUCCCUGGAGUGCUCUCUCUCUCUCUCUCUCUCUCUCUCUCUCUCCCUCUCCUGUUAGUCCUGAGUAAACCUCGCUGCUCCACCAGGUGGCUUGAGGCAGGAGCCAGAGGGGAGAGCUGUCUUGGUCCUGGUCAUAGAAAAAGGUAAUUGAGUCUGUGUGUUUAUUUCGAUUUCACUAGUUAACUUCUAUGCUACAAACCUCUUACAUGAAACCAGCGUGCUGGUCGCGCGGUGGAAUUGCCACCCAACGUGGGGCAUUUUAGCUUAAUUAGAUUGAGAGGGAGCGCGCUAUAAAGAUAAAGGAAUUGGUGACAAUUUUGGGUCACAAAAGUAUCUGGAGGUACUGAAGGAACGAGACGUUAAAUUAUUUAAAAUGGGAAAUUCAACUUCUAUGGAUAAGGAGAUGUAUCUGACUAUUCUAGACACCAUAAUUAAUCAGAAAGGAAAACAGAUUAAAAAAACUCAGUUAUUACAAUUCUUAAAGGUUGUAGGCGAAUUUUGCCCUUGGUUUUGUGAACAAGAAUCCCCAAAUUUACUUACUUGGGAGAAACUAGGGAGGAAAUUACAAAAAGUUUGCCUUUCUAAUGAAUUACCUGGAGGCAUAGAAAAUAUACAGCAAACAUGGACUGCUCUGGAAAUUUGUCUUUUUGAAUAUAUAGGCCAGAGUUCAUGGCCCCCUGAAGAUCUAUUGAAAGGCAUUCAGAGAGCUAUUAGGUCUAUUCAAAUAGAAAAUCCGCCUGAGGCUAAGUUAAUUUCUUUUCCCUUGAGCCAUUUAAAAACAAAAGCUCUUAGGGCUAAACCAAAAGUUAGGAAUGUGACUUUAAACUUGCAAGAAUGAGAUCAAGGUAGCCUGCAGAAAGAUUAUAGAGAGGAAGGUCAUAGAGAGUAAACCUCCAUAGUCAUAGAGAGUCCUCCGGAAGAGAUAGACGAUCCUCCUGGAGAGGAAAAUCUGGAAGAAAUUCUUAGAGAGGCACAGAGCCCUUCUACACCAUGUGGCUUAGAAGCCCAAUUUCAAAAUGGUGACAGCAGAGAUUCUUCCCACGAGUCGCAGUCUGAGGGAGAGGAAUCAGACAUUUAAAUUCAGGACUUACGGAGAAAUUUUAACAGACUGCGUUUAACACCGCCUGCCCAGGCUAUUAGAAUUCGGCCAUUAUCUGCUAUUAGGACAAAAUUUAACAGGUACUCUGAAUUAACAAUGACUUUUCUUACCCCGUUCCAGCGAGGUAUUAAGAAGGCACAGGAGGCAGGGGAAGACAUUAGCGGUUUUCAACUUUUCCCAGUUUUUGAACAGGUUAUUGACCAAGACCAGAGAGUUCGAGUUCAUGCUGUAAUUCCAUUUAAGACUAUUAAGGAAUUGAAAAGUGCUUGUGAGACAUAUGGUCCGAAUACACCUUUUGUACAAAACUUAAUUGAUACCAUCUCCUCACAACCACUUCCACCGAGUGAUUGGAUUUCGUUAGCCAGAUCUUGUUUGAGUGGGGGGGAUUUCUUACUUUGGUGAUCUUAUUGGGCUGAUUUUUGUACUGAACAAGCAGAAAAGAAUAGAAAACAAAAUUUACAGACCCCAGUAGAAAUGUUUUUAGGAACGGGUGAAUUUGCUGAUUUGGAGAGACAGUUAAAUUAUUAAUUUGUAGUGUAUGAUCAGAUAACUGACUGUGCUAAACGUGCCUGGAAACAAAUAGUUUCCAAGGACCAGUCCAAUUUAGUUCUUACCAGAGUCAAGCAAGGUGCCAGGGAGCCAUAUUCGGAUUUUGUAGCCCGAUUGUAUCAGACAGCAAAUAGGUCUAUCGGAGACCCAGCAGCGUGUGAGUUUAUUGUUAAGCAAUUGGCAUUUGAAAAUGUGAAUAAAUAUUGUCAGUAUGUUCUUAGACCGCAUCGUAAAAAAGGAACAGUUUCUGAGUUUAUCCGCUUUUGUUCUGAGAUUGAUUCUACCCAUUUGCAGACAGUAACGCUAGCCGCAGCCCUGAAAGAAACCCUAAAACCGCAGGAAUUAGUACGAAAACCCCACGGAAGAUGCUAUCUCUGCGGGAGAAAUAAUCAUUUUGUGCGAGAAUGCUGUACUCGUAACUUUAAGUUCAGGGCUCCAUCUACUGUUGAUAAUAGGUAUUGCAGGACUCAACCCCACGUGGCAGAUCAAAAUGGCGUGGAUCAGCCCGCCUUCUCGCCUUCAUUUCCUCCUAGCGGGAGAACAAACAACUUCCGGUUGGCCCCUCCCCGGGCCAAGCAAAAAUAUGGGGAAUUCGAGGAGGGAUCACACAGUGUGACGUCACUGGCGCUGACCAGGACAGCCCACCAUUUUUACUGGUACAUAAAUCACAGACAGUUUCCUUAGAACCCUCAACAACAAUUGAAUUGAAUCCUGAAUCAGGGCCAAAACAAAUCCCUACUGGGAUUUUCGGGCCACUUCCUGAUAAUACUAUAGGUUUAAUUUUGGAACGUAAUAAUUUAAAAGGAGCCAUUGAGGUAAUACCUGGAGUGAUAGAUUCAAAUUUUAAAGGACAAUUAAAUGUUACUGUAAGGUCCAAUUAUGCCCUAAGGCUUAUUCCAAAGGAUGCAUUUGUCCAAUUGAUUUUAUUGCCCUGUGAUUCAGAUAAACACCCGCAAGUAAAUUCAGUUUCUAAACCGCCAGACAGAGUGUACUGGUUUCAGUUAGUGCGACAAGAGCACCCUUUAUUGUAACUUAAAAUUAAUCAUAAAAAUUUCAAAGGAAUUCUCGACACAGGUGCAGAUAUUUCUGUCUUUUCUAGUAGAUUCUGGCCUAGGAAUUGGCCCUUACAUGUAGCACCAGCUAACCUAGAGGGAAUUGGACAAAUUUCACAGCCUGCUCAAAGUGCAAAUUAUCUCUGUUGGGAAGAUUCUGAUGGGAACUGUUAAAAACUCCUUUAAACAGUUUAAAAACAGUUUAAAGGAGUUUUUAAACCUUAUGUGUUAGAGUCUUUACCAGCAAACCUAUGGGGAAGGGAUAUUUUAGCAAAAAUGGGAUUGUUAUUAGUAACUCCAAAUUCUAUAAGGUCAAUUGAGGAAGUUAAUCAGAGGUAUUUUCCUGGAGACGAUAAGGAGACCUUUCAGGGAGAGUAUCUGUUUACAAACCAGUCUCCAUGACAAAGAUUAGUAAAUGCUCCAAGCCAAAAUUUUUACUAGGGGCCCUGAGUAUUUGCCCGAUCCCUAAGCAGCUGAAAAAAUUACCUGGAUCACAGAGGAGCCUAUAUGGAUUUCUCAGUGGCCCAUCUCAGGGGAAAAACUUAAAAUAAUUCAUAGGUUAGUUGAGGAACAACUUCGGGCUGGUCAUAUAGAACCAACACUCAGUCCUUGGAACACACCUAUUUUUGUUAUUAAGAAAAAGUCAGGAAAUUGGAGAUUUCUACAGGAUUUAAGGGCAACAAAUCAUGCAAUUCAGCCUAUGGGAUCAUUACAGCCAGGACUUCCUUCCCAGACAGCCAUCCCUUUAAACUAUAGCUUGAUGGUAAUAGAUUUAAAAGAUUGUUUUUUUCUCUAUAAGGUUACAUCCUGGAGAUUAUGAGAAAUUUGCCUUCACUGUCCCAGCAAUUAAUUUUAAGGAACCUGUUAAAAGAUAUUGCUGGAAAGUACUUUCCCAGGGAAUGCGUAAUAGUCCUACCUUAUGCCAAAAAUAUGUAGACCAGGCGAUAGCUCCCAUAAGAAAUAACUUUCCUGAUGCGUAUAUUAUUCAUUUUAUGGAUGAUAUAUUAUUGGCUCAUGCUAAUCCAGAGGUACUUUCAGAAAUUUUUACUCAGUUAGAGGCUUCACUUAUAGCAAUGGGUUUAUGCAUUGCUCCUCAAAAAAUUCAAAAGAUGCCUCCCUUUCAAUAUUUAGGUCAGAUAAUUCAAGGACAUACAAUCCGUCCUCAAAAUCUUCAGAUAAGAGUUAAGGAGUUACAUACCCUUAAUGAUUUUCAAAAGCUAUUAGGAGAUAUUAAUUGGCUGAGGCCAUCCUUAAAACUAACUACUUUUCAGUUAAGUCCUUUGUUUCAGAUAUUACAAGGAAAUCCUUCUCCAACCUCUCCAUGUCAGCUGAACUUAAAGGCUAGAACAGCCUUUAAAAGGGUUGAAAAUGCAAUUAAAAAUGCACAACUUACUAGAGUUGAUCCUAAGGAAAUAGUGUAUUUAUUAAUAUUUCCAACUGAGCAUACCCCAAAAGGAGCCAUAUGGCAAAGAUUAGGAGUUAUUGAGUGGAUUUAUUUAUCCCACUCCCCUCAAAAAACAUUGAUUCCUUUUCAUGACUCUAUUGGUCAAUUAGUAAUUAAAGGUAGAACUAGGAUUUUACAAUUAAGUGGAUCUGAGCCUGAUAUCAUAAUUAUUCCAUUUUCUGUUCAACAGACUAAUUGGCUUUUUCAAACUUCUAGCUUAUGGCAGAUAGCUUUUGCUGAUUUUCCUGGCCAGAUAGAUAGCCAUUACCCUCAUUAUAAGAUUAUCCAAUUUGCAUCAUUAACGUCACUUAUUUUUCCAAAGAUUGUGCGUGCACGUCCUAUAGAUGAAGCUUUAUCGGUGUUCACUGAUGGUUCAAGCUCAGGUAAAGCAGGUUUUUAUAGUCAUGUUCACACAGAGGUAAUGCAAACUUCACAUACUUCUGCCCAAAGAGCAGAGCUUCAAGCUCUGAUUUGUGCCUUAAAUUACUUUUCAAAUGAGCCUAUUAAUAUUUAUUCUGACAGCUUAUAUGCAGUUGGAGUUACCAAAAAUAUUGAAACUUCAGUUAUUGGGUAUACUUCAUCACAAGAGUUAUUUGAAUUAUUUCAUAAUUUACAGAAGGCAGUGCUAAUGUGAAAAUACCCAUGUUUCAUAGAACACAUACGGGCUCAUACUAAUCUUCCAGGACCUUUAGUUUCAGGUAAUGACAAAAUUGAUAAAUUAGUAGCUUUUUGUCAACAGAUGUCUUCAUAUGACUGUGCACAAGCUUCCCAUUCCUUGCAUCAUCAAAAUGCUUCUAGCUUACGUAAAAAAUUUAAUAUUACCAGAGAACAAGCUCGUCAAAUUGUAAGCCAAUGCCCUAAGUGUGUUAUUCACACUCCAUCUCCACCAUCAGGGGUAAAUCCCUGUGGAUUAAAACCAAAUCAAAUAUGGCAAAUGGAUGUAACUCAUAUUCCUCAAUUUGGUAAGCAAUGUUAUGUACAUGUCAUAGUUGACACAUAUUCCAGAUUUAUUUUUGCCACAGCACGUACUAAGGAAAAUACUCAACAUGUAAUUUCUCAUUGCCCAGCAGCUUUUUCUGUGUUAGGGUGCCCUAUGCAGAUUAAAACAGAUAAUGCACCAGCUUAUGUAAGCUCUUCUUUUCAACAAUUUUGCCAAGAGUUUCAAAUUAAUCAUAAAGCAGGAAUUCCUUAUAACCCCCAAGAUCAAGCCAUUGUGGAAAGAGCUCAUUUAUCUAUUAAGCUUCAAUUACAAAAAUUAAAAGGGGGGAAUAGGUUUAUGACUCCCCCAAAUAGCCUCAAUCAUGCCUUGUUCAUUUUAAAUUUUUUAAACUGUGACAUAGAAGGCCACACUGCGGUUGAGAGGCAAAUGUCUCCCUCAGUAACAGGCCUUUUAGGCAGAGUUUUGUGGAAAGAUUUACAGACUGGUCAAUGGAAAGGCCCAGAUCCAGUGAUUAUGUGGGGCAGAGGUCAUGCUUGUAUUUUUCCAGAAGGUGCUUUUUGUCCUAUCUGGGUGCCUGAACGUGCAAUCAGACAUGGAAGAGAUAGAACCGAGAUUCAAGCGACUGAAGAUCGACCCAGAGAAGCCCCCAUCCAAAAGGAAGAGAUAUUGGAAAAAGACAAAGAUAAACCAGAUUGACCCAGCCAAAAAGCUGAUUUCAUGGGAAGAUGUGAAGAAGCUAAUAACACAGGCUGCCUGAAUAAUUCGACUCCUAGGAAAGAACAGGACCCCAGUCUUGCUGGGCUGCCAGGUAAAGGGGAACCAGAUAGACACUUACUGGACAUAUUUCCCAGAUCCACCCCUGGUACAUCUAGCUGUGUGGACUGGAGAAUCUAUUCCAGUGUUUACUAAUGACUCAUUCAUGAUGGGAGGAUUUACAGAUACUCAUAUUACUCCCAAUCAUGUGACUAGAUUUAAUUAUUCUGGCUACAGUGCCCAAUUACCUUUGUGUUGGUCCCACGAUAAACAUGCUGGCUGGCUGAAAGUAUCAUUCAAGGAAAAGACAGCAAUUGGUAGACCUAGACUGACAAAUUAUUCUAUUUAUGGAGACAUAAAACCUUAUACUAGAUCAGUAAUUAAGAUGGGACUUUCCCAUAACAAGCCAGUCAUUUCUGCAAAACCUCCAUGGAUACCCCACUGUCCAAAUAGUUCUACAAUUGAUAUUGGCACAUUUCCUAGAUGGAUGGAUUGUGUAAAUACUUUUCCUGUACAACAUAAGGUGUCCAAAGAUAGUGGGUAUAUUUUAGACUGGUCUCCAAAAAUUGAUAAAAGACAAUUAUGAAAAAAUUCUGCUAUGACACCUGCAGGAUUUGUUAGUAAUAUUUUGACUUACAGUGAGGGUGGUAUUCAAAAGGAUGUUUGGCGCUUAAUUGCUGCCUCAGAAUUCUUACAUUUUACAGACAAACCUUUACCAAAAUUUGUUGGCAAGAACUAUAAGGAGGGAUCUUGCUAUGGCUUACGAGCCUGUGUCCAAUCUCCUUAUGUUUUAAUUAUUGGAAAUGUAAAAGUUAAAUGGAUAGAUGACAGAUAUAUUGUUACUUGUAACAAAUGUAACCUAACCAAUUGUAUUACUAGGUAUAAUGGAGGAAAAGGAGUGCUGAUACUUCAUCAGCCCUCUUUUGUUUUAUUACCUGCUAAUAUUUCAGAGCCAUGGUUUGCUGAUACUGGUUUAAAAGUCUUGCAGCAAAUUCAUGCCCAGCUAGCAAGACCUAAACGUGCUAUUGGAAUUAUAAUUGUUGGUGUUUUGGCGUUAGUCUCUUUCAUUGCAUCCACUGUUUCUGCGUCUCUGACAUUGUCUCAAAAUAUUCAGCAUGCAAAAUUUCUUAAUAAUUUAGCUCAAAAUACUUCCAAGGCUCUGCGUAAUCAAGUAAAUAUUGAAGAAAGGAUUGAGACUAAAUUAAACGCCUUAGAGGCGACUGUUAUAGACAUAGGUAGUGAACUUUCAGCUUCAAAAUUUAAAGAAAGGCUUAAAUGCCACGCAAAUUAUAAAUAUGUGUGUGUUACAGCUGCCAAGUACAACGCUUCUCUCUGGGAUUGGGAGAAGGUUAAAAACCAUUUGUUAGGUAUUUGGGAAAAUAAUAAUAAUAGCUUGGAUCUUUUGGAACUUCAUCACCAUAUCCAAGACAUUCAAAAUAAUAGAGCUGAUUUUUCGGAUCCUUCUUCUUUGGCUAACCAAAUAUUGAAGGAGUUAAAUGGAUUUAACCCUGGAAAUAUUCUUAAACACUUGGCCUGGUACAUUAUUGGAUUGUUCUCUUUGCUGUUAAUUCUCUUUUGUGUUGUAAUUAUAGGAUGGAGAGUCUUCAGAACAAGAAAGCAGAAACUCAAAAGAGUGAACCACCGCCUGAUUUUUAAGAGAAAAAAGGGAGAAUAUGUGGGAAGCCAUUCUCACACGUCAUUGGGCACCUCCCUGAUUAUGUGUGAGGCAUUCUGGCCAAACUGUGUCGGAGCUAAUCCCCACCCUCUCCAGGUGAAAGAGCCUGUCUGAGUGGGGGUGUGACUGACCAUUGACCCUGAGGCCAAUCACUGACCCUGACCUUGUAAUGCUGCCCCCCCUUGACCUUCAU
RNAcentral lists this long non-coding RNA (7780 nucleotides) under Marmota monax (woodchuck). Lineage: Eukaryota; Metazoa; Chordata; Mammalia; Rodentia; Sciuridae. The record is from RNAcentral.